UGAAGGUAUUUGUUUUUCAUACUUUCCUACAUUUAGAUUCUGGCAAACAUUUCUGCAACAAUUCUGACCAUUGGGGUUUUUCUUUUCCUUAAGAAUGGGAGGAUGAUCAGCCAUUUGCAGAUAUUGCUAUUACCAUAGAGAACCAAUUAACAGACUCAAAAUGUUUGAGAGCAUAGGAAGAAAGGAAGGAUUAUCAGCCAUUUGUGGACCUUACAAUCCCCCAGGAGCUACAAGGGGCCCAGCAUGACAUGAACCCUCAGUCUUCCACAAGCUACACAACACGAAUGCUGUUAGGAGCAAAUUACCCAAAGCUAUGGGAUUUCAAGGCAGCAAAGGAUAUUUCCCCCACUUGUUCAAUACAAUGGCCAAUCAAGACUACGUAGGACCACUCUCUGAAACCAAGUAUUACAGCCCUGAAACCAUGAUGCCCGGGGAGAGAGAGGAAUUCAUGAAAUGGCACUCUGCUAAUACAGGUACUGUGUUUAAACUAAAGGCUCUAGCUUACUAUU
Molecule: long non-coding RNA, 509 nt
Organism: Crotalus tigris (Tiger rattlesnake)
Lineage: Eukaryota; Metazoa; Chordata; Lepidosauria; Squamata; Viperidae
Exons: 3
Source: RefSeq, a predicted model, not a curated record